UUAGAGUUUGAUCCUGGCUCAGGAUGAACGCUAGCGGCAGGCCUAAUACAUGCAAGUCGGACGGUAAGGGCCCUUCGGGGCUCGAGAGUGGCGCACGGGUGCGUAACGCGUAUGCAACCAACCCACGGCCGGGGGAUAGCCGGUGGAAACGCCGGAUAAUACCCCAUGGUUCCCUCUGGGGGCAUCCUCGGGGGGAUAAGGAAGCGAUUCGGCCGCGGACGGGCAUGCGUCCCAUUAGCUUGUAGGCGGGGUGAGGGCCCACCUAGGCUACGAUGGGUAGGGGAUCUGAGAGGACGGUCCCCCACACUGGUACUGAGACACGGACCAGACUCCUACGGGAGGCAGCAGUAAGGGAUAUUGGGCAAUGGGGGGAACCCUGACCCAGCCAUGCCGCGUGAGGGAAUGAGGCCCUACGGGUCGUGAACCUCUUUUGUCCGGGGAUAACCUCCCCCGCGGGACGGGGGACUGCAGGUACCGGGCGAAUAAGCAUCGGCUAACUCCGUGCCAGCAGCCGCGGUAAUACGGAGGAUGCGAGCGUUAUCCGGAUUCAUUGGGUUUAAAGGGUGCGCAGGCGGCGUGUUAAGUCAGCGGUGAAAGUCAGGGGCCCAACCCCGGAAGUGCCGUUGAUACUGGCGCGCUGGAAUGCGGUCGAGGCGGGCGGAAUGUGGCGUGUAGCGGUGAAAUGCAUAGAUAUGCCACAGAACUCCGAUAGCGAAGGCAGCCCGCCAGGCCUGCAUUGACGCUCAGGCACGAAAGCGUGGGGAUCGAACAGGAUUAGAUACCCUGGUAGUCCACGCCGUAAACGAUGGACGCUCGUCGUCGGCGGCACACGGCCGGCGGGCCAAGCGAAAGUGAUAAGCGUCCCACCUGGGGAGUACGGUCGCAAGGCUGAAACUCAAAGGAAUUGACGGGGGCCCGCACAAGCGGUGGAGCAUGUGGUUUAAUUCGAUGAUACGCGAGGAACCUUACCCGGGCUCGAACGGAAGGCGAAGGGAUCCAGAGAUGGUGACGUCCUACGGGACGCCUUCCGAGGUGCUGCAUGGUUGUCGUCAGCUCGUGCCGUGAGGUGUCGGGUCAAGUCCCAUAACGAGCGCAACCCCUGCGUCCUGUUGCCAGCGGUCAGGCCGGGCACUCUGGACGGACUGCCCGCGCAAGCGGAGAGGAAGGCGGGGAUGACGUCAAAUCAGCACGGCCCUUACGUCCGGGGCGACACACGUGCUACAAUGGCCGGCACAGAGGGCAGCCACGCGGCGACGCGGAGCGAAUCCCUAAAGCCGGUCUCAGUCCGGAUUGUAGGCUGAAACUCGCCUACAUGAAGCUGGAGUUACUAGUAAUCGCAGAUCAGAAUGCUGCGGUGAAUGCGUUCCCGGGUCUUGUACACACCGCCGGUCA
Molecule: ribosomal RNA, 1392 nt
Filed under: uncultured bacterium
Lineage: Bacteria
Description: 16S ribosomal RNA
Rfam family: Bacterial small subunit ribosomal RNA
Source: RNAcentral